AAAGGGAUAAAAGGAGCUGAUGAGGAGUUAGAGACUCGUAAAGCUUCUUUUAGGCUAAAUGGUCAGACGGGGAGAGUCAAACCACAGAGAGCCCCUUUAGGCCUUUCCAGAAACUAGGGGAACAGCAGCUCACCUACAGUUGGAAUCAGGACUUUCUAUAAACAGAGGGAAUCUUUCGUACCCUGACAUGCCCUGGUCAGGCACAUUGAGGAAGUCCAUGUUCCCCUGGUUGUGCUGGUUGUGGGCUGGGACUCGGGGGGCCCUCUGGGAACCUAUUUUUGGUGGAGCUGUG
Long non-coding RNA from Sander lucioperca (pikeperch), 292 nucleotides. RefSeq lists it as uncharacterized. The record is from RefSeq and is a predicted model, not a curated record. NCBI's taxonomy places the organism in Eukaryota, Metazoa, Chordata, Actinopteri, Perciformes, Percidae. The transcript has 3 exons.